GUUGCCUAGAUAGACAACCCAAGAGGGGGGGUGAAUUGGGUUUUAAAAUAAUUUGGCUAUUAAAACUUUUGUGGAUAACUAAUUAAUGCUUUUGCGAGAUGAUUAAUUAGUUUCUAUGUGCGGUGAAUGAAAUGCGAGAGAUAGAGAGAGACAAACAAUCACAAACACAAUGUUUUAUAGUGGUUCGGAGCUAACCCUUGCUCCUACGUCCACUCCCCAAGUCUCACUUGGGAAUUCACUAUAACCCCUUGGAUUACAGCCGUUUGUUUUUCAA
RNAcentral lists this long non-coding RNA (274 nucleotides) under Phoenix dactylifera (date palm). RNAcentral's name for it is "long non-coding RNA (PDAC_LNC021100)". Lineage: Eukaryota; Viridiplantae; Streptophyta; Magnoliopsida; Arecales; Arecaceae. The record is from RNAcentral.